Molecule: ribosomal RNA, 749 nt
Filed under: Lacticaseibacillus zeae
Lineage: Bacteria; Bacillati; Bacillota; Bacilli; Lactobacillales; Lactobacillaceae
Description: bacterial SSU rRNA
Rfam family: Bacterial small subunit ribosomal RNA
Source: RNAcentral
UAAUACAUGCAAGUCGAACGAGUUUUGGUCGAUGAACGGUGCUUGCAUUGUGAUUCAACUUAAAACGAGUGGCGGACGGGUGAGUAACACGUGGGUAACCUGCCCUUAAGUGGGGGAUAACAUUUGGAAACAGAUGCUAAUACCGCAUAAAUCCAAGAACCGCAUGGUUCUUGGCUGAAAGAUGGCGCAAGCUAUCGCUUUUGGAUGGACCCGCGGCGUAUUAGCUAGUUGGUGAGGUAACGGCUCACCAAGGCGAUGAUACGUAGCCGAACUGAGAGGUUGAUCGGCCACAUUGGGACUGAGACACGGCCCAAACUCCUACGGGAGGCAGCAGUAGGGAAUCUUCCACAAUGGACGCAAGUCUGAUGGAGCAACGCCGCGUGAGUGAAGAAGGCUUUCGGGUCGUAAAACUCUGUUGUUGGAGAAGAAUGGUCGGCAGAGUAACUGUUGUCGGCGUGACGGUAUCCAACCAGAAAGCCACGGCUAACUACGUGCCAGCAGCCGCGGUAAUACGUAGGUGGCAAGCGUUAUCCGGAUUUAUUGGGCGUAAAGCGAGCGCAGGCGGUUUUUUAAGUCUGAUGUGAAAGCCCUCGGCUUAACCGAGGAAGCGCAUCGGAAACUGGGAAACUUGAGUGCAGAAGAGGACAGUGGAACUCCAUGUGUAGCGGUGAAAUGCGUAGAUAUAUGGAAGAACACCAGUGGCGAAGGCGGCUGUCUGGUCUGUAACUGACGCUGAGGCUCGAAAGCAU